ACGAACGCUGGCGGCGUGCUUAACACAUGCAAGUCGAACGGAAAGGCCCCUUUGGGGGUACUCGAGUGGCGAACGGGUGAGUAACACGUGAGUAACCUGCCCUUGACUUCGGGAUAACUUCAGGAAACUGGGGCUAAUACCGGAUAGGAAUCCUUGCUGCAUGGUGGGGGUUGGAAAGCUUCGGCGGUUUUGGAUGGACUCGCGGCUUAUCAGCUUGUUGGUGGGGUAGUGGCUUACCAAGGCUUUGACGGGUAGCCGGCCUGAGAGGGCGACCGGCCACAUUGGGACUGAGAUACGGCCCAGACUCCUACGGGAGGCAGCAGUGGGGAAUAUUGCACAAUGGGCGGAAGUCUGAUGCAGCAACGCCGCGUGCGGGAUGACGGCCUUCGGGUUGUAAACCGCUUUCAGCAGGGGCGAAGCUUGUGGUGACGGUACCUGCAGAAGAAGCACCGGCUAACUACGUG
Molecule: ribosomal RNA, 464 nt
Filed under: uncultured bacterium
Lineage: Bacteria
Description: partial 16S ribosomal RNA
Rfam family: Bacterial small subunit ribosomal RNA
Source: RNAcentral